CAUGAAGCUGGAUUCGCUAGUAAUCGCGCAUCAGCCAUGGCGCGGUGAAUACGUUCCCGGGCCUUGUACACACCGCCCGUCAAGCCAUGGGAGCCGGGGGUGCCUGAAGUUCGUGACCGCAAGGAGCGACCUAGGGCAAAACUGGUGACUGGGGCUAAGUCGUAACAAGGUACC
Molecule: ribosomal RNA, 174 nt
Filed under: uncultured bacterium
Lineage: Bacteria
Description: partial 16S ribosomal RNA
Rfam family: Bacterial small subunit ribosomal RNA
Source: RNAcentral